Molecule: ribosomal RNA, 530 nt
Filed under: Mendis apicimaculata
Lineage: Eukaryota; Metazoa; Arthropoda; Insecta; Hemiptera; Reduviidae
Description: partial 16S ribosomal RNA
Rfam family: Bacterial large subunit ribosomal RNA
Source: RNAcentral
AAAACAUGUCCUUUAGUAAUUGUUGUAUUUAAGGUUUAACCUGCUCAAUGAUUUAUUUAAAUAGCCGCAGUAUUUUAACUGUGCUAAGGUAGCAUAAUCACUUGUCUUUUAAUUGUUGGCUUGUAUGAAUGGUUGGACGAGGAACUUACUUUCUUUUUUUUAGUUUGUUUGAAUUUAACUUUUAAAUUAAAAGGUUUAAAUUUUAUUAAGGGACGAGAAGACCCUAUAGAUUUUUAUAAUUAAGUUAUUUGUUAUUUUUUGUUUAUGUUUUUUAUAAUUAAUUUAAUUAUUUGGUUGGGGUGACUAAAGAAUUUCAAGAACUUCUUUUUUUAAUUUCAUUUAUUUAUGUUUUUAUGAUCCAUAUUUUGUUGAUUAUAAGAUUAAAUUACCUUAGGGAUAACAGCGUAAUUUUUUCGGAGAGUUCUUAUUGAUGAUAAAGUUUGCGACCUCGAUGUUGGAUUAAAAUAAGUUUUAGGUGUAGUUGUUUAAUGACUAGGUCUGUUCGACCUUUAAAUUUUUACAUGAUCUGA